Molecule: long non-coding RNA, 513 nt
Organism: Nicotiana tabacum (common tobacco)
Lineage: Eukaryota; Viridiplantae; Streptophyta; Magnoliopsida; Solanales; Solanaceae
Source: RefSeq, a predicted model, not a curated record
CUUGGACAAAAUUUACCAUAUUUCCUUGUGCAAAUUUCAUCCUCAAAGUUAAGCUGUAGCAGAACCCUUUACAGAGCGAGCCAUGCCAGGUCCCAUCAUCGAAGAAGUUGAGGUCGAGAAGAAGCUUCAGGAUGAGGAGUUCAUAGUGGAAGAUGUGAAAGAGGAAGACGACAACGAUGAUGAUGAUGAUGCGGUUGUUUCGGACGACGAUGAUGACAAGGAAGAGGAUGCCCAAGAUCCAAAUACAUCUUAUAAGACCCGGUAUUAGCACACUGAGUUGCUUUGUUUGGAGACUUCAAGGUACACCUGCCUGCGUUCGCAAGCCUAGGAGUCCCCUUCUACACUGUUCUUCCUUAUUUCCUUACAUUUUUAUAGACAGUGAUGUAUAGGAUUGUUCGAUACUGUAUCUAGAACUUAUGACUUAUAUCUCACUAGGUUUUGGGAUUUGUAUGUAUUGAGUUUUGGUAGAUUUUAUUCAUGAAAUUGUUGGGAUUUUUAAGUUUUAAGCUUUUA